RNAcentral lists this ribosomal RNA (433 nucleotides) under uncultured bacterium. RNAcentral's name for it is "bacterial SSU rRNA". It matches the Rfam family "Bacterial small subunit ribosomal RNA", at positions 355 to 786 of the family's 1533-position model. The record is from RNAcentral.
UGAGGAAUAUUGGUCAAUGGGCGAGAGCCUGAACCAGCCAAGCCGCGUGAGGGAAGACGGUCCUACGGAUUGUAAACCUCUUUGUCGGGGAGCAAUAAAGCGUACGCGUACGCAGAUGCGAGUACCCGAAGAAAAAGCAUCGGCUAACUCCGUGCCAGCAGCCGCGGUAAUACGGAGGAUGCGAGCGUUAUCCGGAUUUAUUGGGUUUAAAGGGUGCGCAGGCGGAAAGUGCAAGUCAGCGGUCAAACGACGGGGCUCAACCCCGUCUCGCCGUUGAAACUGUCUUUCUAGAGUGAGCGAGAAGUAUGCGGAAUGCGUGGUGUAGCGGUGAAAUGCAUAGAUAUCACGCAGAACUCCGAUUGCGAAGGCAGCAUACCGGCGCUCAACUGACGCUCAUGCACGAAAGCGUGGGUAUCGAACAGGAUUAGAUACC